CCUAGACGCUGCCUCCCUUCCAGAAUCCCAGACAAAACCUCAGAAUUCUGGAGCACCGGGCUGGCAGUUCACCAGCACGUUCCUGCCGGAGAUCUCAGGGCUCUGAGACGCACCAGAGCCUGGCCCUGGCCACAUGCAAGUUCAGAGGCAUCCUCCAGACACCGGCUCCCCUGGCCACCCGGCCUCUCCACUUCCCUGGGUGCUCAGCAGCCGGUAUCUCUCCCCCCACCCCCCACCAGGGAGCGGUGCAGGAACCCGGGACUUAUCAAGACAAAGAACAAAAGUCGUGGGGGAAAGAAGCCAAGAGCCAUCUCCACUCUGGGGUAGGGCCCUUCAGUUUCGCCCCUUUGAAAUUUCAAAUUCCAGUUUGUGGACAAAGUCCUAACUUUCCCACAAUAUAGGUCCCCAACCACUGACCAAACUCCAGUCCAGACAGCCAGCAGGCCUGGGGCUGGCGGGGUCGGCUGCUUCCCUUGGCAGCUUUCGAGUUCCAGGGGGAAGGGUCCUGGGCCAAGUGGGGUCUGCCAGGCCAUCGCUGCAGCCCCAUCCCACCCCACAGGGCCCCCUGCCUCCUGAGAGGGCAGCCCUCCUCCUGGAGCUGGGAUCUGACGCUUGCUGGUACCGACGGAAGACACCAGGCACGUGGCCGGAUCCCACUUUCUUGCCUCCUUUGAAGUUAGAUGUGACCAUGUGACUUGUCUUGGCCAAUGAAAUGUGAGUAGAAACCUUCUGCGUCACAGCUGGGCGGAAGCUUCACCACCCGGCGCUGGGGCUGUUGCGGAAGCAAGUGUAGCUGUGGGGUCACCUGGAUGAGGCGAGCACCCUGCCGCCCCACGACGGACUCGUUCUAUGAAGAGACUGAGGGUCAGAGAGGUAAAGUCAUGUCCGACAACACAGAGCUUGCGUGGCUCUAACCCACAUCUUCCUGGCUCUGCGAAACAAGUUCUCAGCCACUGCCAUAAAGGCCCCACCAUGUGAACCGGGUCUCCAUCACUGUCAAGAUUCCUUUUCCUCCAGGCUCCCUAAGUCCUUCAGUAUUCUCUCAUCUCCCCAGAGAAGCUGUAGCCGUUAUCUCUUCUGAAAACAAAGUGAGCCCCUUCACCAUACAAGGACCCGUGUGCCUCCUUGAGAGUCAGUCUACGUUAUCUCUAGAAAAACCAUGACUUGCCUGGAGAAAGGAGAAAAAAUAAGCCUCUCUCCACCUCAACUCCACCCCCCAAAUCACCGGAUUUGGGGUCAAUUCUGAGGGGCUGGAGACAGAAGAAUGGCUGUGUAAUAAAGUUUCAACUUGACUAUUGUUUUAUGUGACUAUCUGAUAAAGAAAACACAAUGGCUGCCAGAUGGGGGCUGGGAGGUGAGAUUUCCCAAGUGGAAAGUUCCAGAAGACAGGCCUGGAGCUCUGGAGCCUGGGUCCUCCCGACAGACACACAGGCAGCAAGGGUGGGGACACCAGAGAUAAUAGUGGGGUCGCGCAAAGACCCAGCGAGGGACAUAAGCCGGAGAAUGGGAAAGGGAGGCAGGAGUUUGCCUACGUAGCCGUGAGCUUGGUCACUGCUGUCGAAACCAAGGGGCUACAGCAGCACUGCCCAACAGAAGUAUAACGUGAGCCACACAGGUGAUUUUAGCUGUUCUGAUAGUCCCAUUAAACAAUAGUAAAUCUAUGAAUGAGGAGAUUGCUCUCACAAAUAAUGAGCUUCCCCUUGGUCUUAGCCAUCAGGGGUCCCAAACUCAAGGGCCCACAAUACCAAGAUAAGUAUAUGGAGCAAAUUUCACACUUUCCUGUAAGAAAGACAAAGCAGCAAACAUAAUGGUUUAUGUUCAUUAGUAUAACUUCAGUGUAGGACAUUAAGGAAUGGUGGGGACUGUGGCAAAUUAGAGAAAGCACAUACAGUCUAAAUUAGCUCCAGUGGAGUUUUUGCCUCACGGGUAUAGAGAAUCAGUGUUGCUACAGCUUCCCAUUUUUUUGAAAGGAAGCUGGAAAUCUGGAUAUUUAAAAGUUAGUAAUUAAUUCCAAUUUUAUUAAAAAACAAAAUUGAGUGGUCUGGAUUGCAAACUGUGAUCUCCUUUAAACCCUUGACCAUGUUUUACAGAGGAGGAAACUGAGGUUCAGAGUGGUUAAAUAUUUUCUCAACUCACAGCAAAGACAACUGGAUCUUCAGGUCAUUUCUGCUACUUCUGCUAAUAACCAUUUGUUUUUUCACUAUUCUUAUUGAGAAUUUACUAGGUUCCAGGUUCUGUGCUGAACAUAUGGCACCAAGAAGGAAGUACUAUUUAUGAUGCCGGUUUUGGAGAGGGAAACCAGGGCUCAGAGAGGUGGAGUAAAUUGCCUAAGAUCCCACCGUGGGGCUUGAACCUGGGUCUGUGUUUGAUUAUAAGACUCUAGAUGCUCCCUCUGGCUACCCCCUCCCUGAAGAACCUCAGAGACCAAGGAAGCUGGUUGUGUUGGCCCGGGGCCUACUCCAAAGGGCGGGGCCUGGGUGGGCAGCGUCCCUCACCUCCAUGCUUGCUUUCCGCGGAGCGCUUCCAUUGUAUCGUUCCUGUGAACUGGCUUCCAGGCAAGAUUUUGUUUGACGAAAGAACGCCGCUCCCGUUGUUUUUUUUUUUUUUAAUUUGAAAACCACUGAUCUGCUUAUGGCCCCUCAGGAGAGGAAACUGAGGCCCAGACCAGAGGCGGCAAGUGCCUGAGUUCCCUCUACAAGUCAGGACCAGAACUGGGACCAGAAGCAGGUCCUGGAGGCCCGGGCCUGCCUGGGAAGCGGCCCGCUGGGUGUGCCAGGGCCCCUCCGGCUCCUCUGGGCUCUCUCUGCGUCUCUCCACCUGCUCCGCCCUUCCUCACGCCUGUUUGGAUAACUUUUUGACCUGUUCCUUCCCAAGCUCCCCCUGAGGUGUGGCUGCCUCUGCCGCUUGUCCCAGAGGAUCCUGGGCCUCGGCAGUGUGGCGGCCCAGGCUUGGCCGGUCCCACGGCAGACAGUUGUCAAACAGCGGCCGUCUGGGCAGGGGGAGGCCUGUUUACCCAGGGCAGGGCCCAAGCAGAGGCUGCAGCUUCCUCCCCAACCAGCGGCCCAUCCAGCUGCUCAGCGUACUGACUCAGCCGUCCCCCUCUGUAUUUGCUCAUUCCACAAAUAUUUAUGGAGCGCCUACUGUGUGCCAAGCGCCGUCCUACAUGCUGAGGCUCUAGCAGGCAACACCGUGGCCAGGUUCCCUGCUCUAAUGGAGCUUACAUUGGCGUGGAGGAGACGGAUGAUAAACAGAUCAAGGCAGGCACAAUUCCAGGGCUGCAGAGGAUCACAGGACCCAUAAUGAUGGGUGGAGGCAGAGAAGUCUUAGAUUUGGGUGGUCAAGGAAGGCUGCUCCGAGUGGGGAACAUUCGAGUUAAGACCCCAACUAUGAGAAGAAAUCAGUUAUAGGAAGAGCUAGGAAAACGAGGUUCCUGGCAGAGGGAACAGCAAGUACAAAGGCCCUGAGGUAGGAAUGUGCUUGGCCUGAUUGAAAAAUAGUAAAAAGGCCAGUGUGGCCGAAGUGGAGCAAGCAAAAGGGAGAAAGACAGGAGACCCAACAGAGGGGCAGACAGGAGUCGGAUCCCGUGGGGCCUUUUAGGGAAAAGAGCUGGGGUUUUCUUUUCUGUAUAACACACAGUGGUCAGAAGAUGUCCAGCACAGAUUUUAAACGUGAUUGCAUCCUGAACUUCUCCUGUAACUUUAACUCUGCUUUUUCCCUCUCUGGCUUUCUGUCCCAGGAAUUUGUUCUUAAGUACAUUUGAGGGUGUUUGAAAUAGUGUUUAAUUAUUCCCUUUUCCAUUUUAAUUUAAAAUUCUUUCAAAAGUUUUGUCAAAGCUGUAUGGAUAUGCAAUAGCAAAAAUCAAAUACUUUUACGAAGCUGAUGAUAAAUAGCAGUAGUCGCCUGCCCACGCUUUUCUGAACCUGAUUCCCACCAAUGAGAGGCAACUACUUACAACUGUUUUAGUUGGGUUGUUCCCCCCCCCGGGGUUUUCCUCUGGAUUUCUAAAUAUCAUGGUUAUACUGCUACUUCUUGAUUUCUCCGUUUUAGAUGGAAUGUGUUAACUUGCUAAUAGGAACAAUCCUGUAUAACUAUUUCCCAAUUCGGAGAUAACUCAAUACUUGUUGUUUCCAUUUGCCUAAGCACAUUACUGUUAUUACUAUUAUUCACAGCUGACACGGGCUGUAUAGGAACCAAGGCCUUUCCGUGCGUUAUUUCAGUUAUUCUUCACAAUCACGCUAUACGGUAAGUGUUGGUCAACAUAACAAUCACACUAACACUUUGCAUCCAGUGUAACCGUUGGCAGUUUGCGGAAGACCCUUGCACCCACCCCCUUGAUCUGCAGAGAGAUCCUGAGAGGCAAGCAGAACUGGCAUUAUUAACCCCAUUUUCGGAGGAGGACGUGGAGCCCAGUAUGACAAAGAAAAUUCUACCUCUCACAGCGGGGUGCAGUGGUUAAAAAAAACCCAUCUUCCAGCCAAGGUGGAAGGAGCUGGGGUCCCUGUGUGAAGGAGAUUAACUCUCCUAUCUUACAUUUUGGGUUAGUUUGUUGCAUCCACUGGUGUUGCCCUUACUAACAUAAUGCUUGGGUUCGAAUCCUAGCUCUGCCUCUCCUAGGCUGUGUGGUUUGGGGUAAGUUAUUUAACCUCUCUGGGCCUUUGUUACCUCUUCUGAGAAGUGAAUAUGAUGACAGCACCUACUGCAAUGGGCAAUGGUGAGGACUAAAAGAAGUAAUCUUUAUAAAGUGCCGAGAACAGCAUCUAGCCCGUGGUAAGUCCUAUGUAAGUGAUCAAAUAAACCAGAGCUAGGAAAUGAAUGAGCCAGGACCCUGAUCCGGGCCUUCUGAUGCCAAUGUCAGCAUCUGGCCCAAAGCGCCGGACAUUUGCAUUCCUCUUUACAAUUUUUCCUGUAUCUGCCUAUUACCCGUACCUUUAUUUUCUGUUGUUAUUUACUUGAUAUUUUUCUUUCCUUUGAAGAAUACAUUAAUUUAUUAAAGGAUAUUUUAUAUUACUGCUUUAAUAUGCUAGUUAUAAAUUUUUCUAACACGCAGUAAAAUGAAUUCAAUAAGAUUUAAAAGUGUUUGUCCAUGUACUAGCUACAAUCAGCUCCUCUACGCUGUGGGGACACCUGAGGAAACGUAUGCUAUUUUUAAGUCUAUAAAGAACCUUUGGUGGAGCCGGCCCCGUGGCCGAGUGGUUAAGUUCGCGCGCUCCACUUUGACGGCCCAGGGUUUCGCCGGUUCGAAUCUUGGGCGCGGACAUGGCACUGCUCAUUAGGCCACGCUGAGGUGGCAUCCCACACAGCACAACCAGAGGCGCUCACAGCUAGAAUACAUAACUAUGUACCGGGGGGCUUUGGGAAGAAGAAGAAGAAGAGGAAAGGACCUUUGGGAACAUUCUACCCAGUGGCUUUUAAACCCUUUUGAGCACGACCCUCAGUAAGGAAAACAUUUUAUGUCACAUACUUUAUAUACAGCGGCAAUAAAGGGUGGCAGUCAAAACAAAGACUCGGGAGCCCAGGUGCCUGGGCUGGAAACUCAGCGUCCCCUCUGAGUGCCCAUGUCACUUUCGCUGAGUGCCUCAUCCUCUCUGUGCCUCCGUUUCCUCAUCUGUACAAUGGGAAUGACAAUAACAGCACCUCCGAGAAGGGUCACUGUGAAGAGAAGGCGUUAAUA
Long non-coding RNA from Equus quagga, 5671 nucleotides. RefSeq lists it as uncharacterized. The record is from RefSeq and is a predicted model, not a curated record. NCBI's taxonomy places the organism in Eukaryota, Metazoa, Chordata, Mammalia, Perissodactyla, Equidae. The transcript has 3 exons.